Molecule: ribosomal RNA, 274 nt
Filed under: uncultured bacterium
Lineage: Bacteria
Description: partial 16S ribosomal RNA
Rfam family: Bacterial small subunit ribosomal RNA
Source: RNAcentral
AUACGGAGGGUGCAAGCGUUAUUCGGAAUCACUGGGCGUAAAGGACGCGUAGGCGGGUUGGCAAGUCAGAUGUGAAAUCCUACAGCUUAACUGUAGAACUGCAUUUGAAACUGCUAACCUAGAGUAUGGGAGGGGGAGAUGGAAUUAGUGGUGUAGGGGUAAAAUCCGUAGAUAUCACUAGGAAUACCGAAAGCAAAGGCGAUCUCCUGGAACAUAACUGACGCUAAGGCGUGAAAGCGUGGGGAGCAAACAGGAUUAGAAACCCUAGUAGUCC